Molecule: long non-coding RNA, 918 nt
Organism: Momordica charantia (bitter melon)
Lineage: Eukaryota; Viridiplantae; Streptophyta; Magnoliopsida; Cucurbitales; Cucurbitaceae
Source: RefSeq, a predicted model, not a curated record
UCCCUACUUUUUGUGAGCCACCAGCCCCUCUCUGUGUUCUCCUUCCUUGUUGAUACCCAGCCGCACCACCUCUCCCUGACGCAGACUCUGAUGACCGGUGACCUCUUUGACUGACGUCAACUCCAACCAUCGUCAGAAGAGAAAGCUUUGAUCUCUUUCCGUCAUCCCAAGAGUAAAUCAUCUUAGAAACUUGGGCUAGACAAAACAAAGGUACUCCGAGGCCACCAGCAGUGGCGCGCCACCUCCUGCGAACAACAGCAGGCGCGACAUCUGUCUUGGUACCGGACGAUGGUUCUAUUGCAGUUGGGGCAUUCGGGGCAUUUGGUUUUGGCGACAUAACUCCUCCAUAGCUCGGGUUCAGUAUUCCGUGAAGGUCGGCGACCUCGAGUGCAGGUUCCUCACAGCACACAGCAGCGUGGUAUCAGUUGGGGGUAUUUUUCUGUUGCAAGAAAAACGCUACAGCAAAAUUCCAUGGCAUUUGGCACCUACUCGUAACCAUUCAAUGCUCGAUUUACACAACCCACACCCCAUCGUGUUAGAUCUAAGUUACCCACACUUAAAUGAAGUCGCUUUUGGCGGUGUUGAAUUGACGGGAGGUUUAGAAGCAUAGCAGUGUGUGUAAACCGAAUCCUUAGCCGUGGUGAUGACGUGGAGGAGGCUUGAUCGAGGGAGGACCAUUAGGCUGCGUACUUUUGUCUAGGAUAGUUGAAUUAUAAUUUGAUUGUUGGGAGCAUUAGGGACUCGUUGUUGGCGGUGAACUAGCAAUUGUUGUUUUUGAUGUGUUGAACGAUUUUCCAGAUGAAUCGUUGUUUUACUUAUUUAAAUUUCUUGUGUAAUUUGGAUUUGUUGGACAAAUUGAAUGUUCAAUUCUCUUUAUGGAUUUAUUAGCCACUGAGGCAGUCGAGUUUUCAUUAGGAA